This is a non-coding RNA of Paramormyrops kingsleyae, 3291 nucleotides long. NCBI's taxonomy places the organism in Eukaryota, Metazoa, Chordata, Actinopteri, Osteoglossiformes, Mormyridae. The record is from RefSeq and is a predicted model, not a curated record.
GGCCCCACGGGCCCCCUGCACCCCAAGGACCCCUGGGCAGCGGCCCCGCUGGCCCGGUCCGUAAUCCGUCCCUGGAUGAUGGUGGUCACGUUAUCUGCAGAAACAGAGAAAACAAAGUUGUGGGCUGAUUUGGCAGCUCACAGCAGAGGAGGACCCCGCAGGUGAGAUCGGAUUGAAUUUUUAUUUGUCAUUUAUUAGAAUACAAAUACCCUGCAAUAACUGUCGGGCAUCCUGGAUGCCACUGUGUGAGAUUUCACUUUGGCAUGAUAUUGAGUUUUCUUAUAUUUUAUUGCCUUCUCCGAGAUCAUACCUGCCUUUACUGGAAUGGCUGUGUCUCUGGACAAGAAAGCAACAGGGUCAGCCUUCAUUUCCUUGUACACGACCGUGGCGAUCCAUGGCUUUUGCUUUGGAGGCAAGGGGAUUGUAUCUGCAGGGACAGUUUAUAAAUACGCCCAAACAGCAGCCCUUCCGUUAACAGGAAGCAGUGGUUUUUAAGGUAAACAUGGUGUGCGGUGCGGAGAGUAGAGGACACGUGAAAACGACGGGGAAAAGGAAAAAAAAAAGUUCUGUUGAAAAAAUAUCCCAAGCCAUCAGCAGUCUUAAGGCUAGUGCAUCAGAAAGCCGGCUUUCAACGGGAGUCCCAGCGUACGAGGGUAGCCUACAACCAAAACUUUCAGUGGAGGGUUCGUACGAUGUCCAAGGCUGACUGGGGCUUCUUGGAGCGCUUGCUGGAGGAGGGACAGGAGCACUCGACGGGCGUUGGCCGGGUGUGGCUGACGGUGCUCUUCCUUUUCCGGAUCCUGGUCUUGGGCACAGCGGCCGAGUCCGCUUGGGACGAUGAGCAAUCGGACUUCAUCUGCAACACAGCGCAGCCUGGCUGCGAGCUGGGCUGCUACGACAAGGCCUUCCCCAUCUCACACUUCCGCGUCUUCGUGCUGCAGGUCAUCUUCGUCUCUACGCCGACCGUCUUCUACUUCGGCUACGUGGCCUUUCGCAACAGAUGGAGAGAGAAGGAAUUGGAGGAGGCGGAGGUACAACAUUUGGUCGCAGGAAAGGACAGGGGUAGCAGUCAUCUGGCUGUUAAUGUGAAUGUCAAAAAGGUGACUAAGGACCAUACAGCCAUCUUGGAGCAGCCUAAACUGAAGGGCAGGCUACUCUGUGCUUAUACACUCAGCAUCUGCAUAAAGAUAGUCUUAGAGGUGGGCUUUAUGUUGGGGAUAUAUUUCCUAUACGGCUUCUUCAUCCUCCCCAAGUUCGAAUGUGAACGCCUACCAUGCCCGCACAAGGUGGACUGCUUUGUCUCCCGGCCCACCGAGAAGACUAUCUUCACCAUCUACAUGCAGGUCAUCGCUGGCGUCUCCUUGCUGCUGAACGCUAUGGAGCUCCUCUAUGUCAUCCAGCGGGUCAUAACCCUCUACCUGGAGAGGGCUUUCCGUAGGAGAGACCAGGAUUUGGUGCCGUCCAACCUGGACAGCAUGUCCGCUUCGCAGUGUCCCCCAUCCUAUCAGGAGAGGUGCCAACUGCCGAUUCCUAUAGGUGACAUUAGCUACUCCCAACCGUACAAGGACUGCAUAUUGAUGGAGAACAAGGUAAACCAGCACCAGGGCAUGGAUCAGUGUUCCCCUACAGGUUCACUGCCCAACUACUUGAUCUGUCCCCCCGCCACCUUGACCCUCUCAUCAAAGCCUGACUCAAAAAGGUCGUCUCGCAAGGGAGACAGAAGUAGCUGCACAAAGAGCAUCUCCCAGCAGAAGCAUUAUGUCUGACAGGCGAUGUUCGCAACUAUGAAUUUUUUUUCCGCGGGGUGGGUGGGGUGGGUACUGUAGGCCUAUGAGCACAUUGGGAACAUUCCGUUCCGGCUCCUUGACCGAUUUCAGAGACGCUGGGUCUCAGCUCAUCUUUGGCUGCCGUUGCAUAUCCCAUGGGCCUCACUGGUCCACCCUGGCAUACGGACUUGGCAGCGGCUCGAGUUGAUGGUCCCGGGCCGACCCACAGGCUGAUUCGUCACGGCGAUCGGGCAGAGGCUGUGUAAACGGUUCCUGGGACCAGCUCUCCGGUACUGUAUGGGGACACAGAAGAGGUGGGAAUCGGGCGUGAAGAGGAGCAGCCGAGAAGGGCAAGAGAGGAAGCCAUCUUGUGUUGCUACGUCGAGAUGAUCAGCACGGUACAACAGCAAGGAUUUUCAACAGUAGAGGCAAGGCUAGAAAAAUCUAGACAGAAUUAAAGGACGGGAAGACAUCAUUAGCACACUAAGCUGGUACAGUGGGGUCACCAAACACUCCAUGGAAGCACCCCCCGCCCCUUUGCUGCCAAUGGCCGCCAUGCCCAGGGAUCACUCAGGAAUGCUGGCCAGCCCCCCACCCCCCGCCAACCAAAUGAAAACCCUGCUGUUGCUUUGUGCCGAACUGCAGCAUGAGCGAAUAAGGAAUGCCAGAGCUGUGUGACCCCCCAAGCCCGUCGCGGCCUGCUCAUCCACAUCCUCGUGCCAGGUGUCAUCCUGACGAUGACCCCUAACCCAAACUCAUUUCCAACAUCACCUGCAAUCUAUCGUUGAUGGACCUCUCUCCCAUGGCUUUAUGUCAUACGUACUCAUGAAAAUACGCGUGAUUACAUUUGAUUGACUGUCAUUAUUGCUCUUAAUGAGAAUUUAAAUGAGUCAUGAUGCCACUCGUGGAGGUAUCCCAUGUGCACCUGACUGUACUGUCUGGACUGAGCCGACCUCACCCUUCUCCACGCCGUUUGCAUCACCCAGCCAUUUUCUGGGCUUUCCCCUAGCUGCUAGAAAGCAAAGUGCUCAGCUGAGAUCUGCUGGAGCCCCUCUCACUGUUUCCUGCAUCCUGGCAUUGUUCCUGCCCCCUCCAACCCCCCUUGUCCCUCCCCACUCUCGUGUCACUCAGCAGAGACAGGAACCCAUGCCGGAGUGCAGGAGGCAUCCCAGCAUGCAAAGCCACCGGGAUGCCUCGGGCCACGCGUCACCUGUGCCAAACUUGGCUGCCCAGAACUGUCGGAGACUGUGCACCAGCUGAACCGAAGAAAGCCACUUCCCUCUCUGAAGCCAUAACGGGCACCGGAGCCCACAGUCACAUGACGUGAGAGGGAGGAGGGGAUUGGGCUAAAAAUAACAUCAGCAUGUUGCCUGGUUAUUCUUCAGUGAGGGUCAGCCCUUUGCAUUGUUGAUGUUGUGUUUAUUUAAUGGGUUCCUGAAAAGUGCACUAAUCAUGGUGAUGCGCAGUACAUACCGUUUGGUGUCUCCUGCACACUAACAUUAAACGUGUGAGCAUAAGAAUGAAA